GACGAACCGAGCGAACGUUGUUCGGAAUCACUGGGCUUAAAGGGCGCGUAGGCGGGCUGUCAAGUCUGGGGUGAAAUCCCGCGGCUCAACCGUGGAACUGCCUCAGAUACUGACGGUCUCGAGGGAGGUAGGGGCGAGCGGAACUGAUGGUGGAGCGGUGAAAUGCGUUGAUAUCAUCAGGAACUCCGGUGGCGAAGGCGGCUCGCUGGACCUCUUCUGACGCUGAGGCGCGAAAGCCAGGGGAGCAAACGGGG
Molecule: ribosomal RNA, 254 nt
Filed under: uncultured bacterium
Lineage: Bacteria
Description: partial 16S ribosomal RNA
Rfam family: Bacterial small subunit ribosomal RNA
Source: RNAcentral